RNAcentral lists this long non-coding RNA (368 nucleotides) under Brassica napus (rape). RNAcentral describes it as "long non-coding RNA (BNAP_LNC026583)". The record is from RNAcentral. Lineage: Eukaryota; Viridiplantae; Streptophyta; Magnoliopsida; Brassicales; Brassicaceae.
CACACAAUAUCGUAUUUCACUUGUGUGUGAUCCAUGUCGAACCUCCAGGUCCCAUGGGCAAGUCUCUGCCAUUCACCAACAACAACUCUCACCAGUCGCCCCAUUGCUUGUACUUGAACAAGCAAGUUGUUUCCUGAACAAAAAGACAGAACACAUAAUGUUAAUCUCUACUUUGUAACAGCGAAUGCAACCGUCUAUUAAUCAUCAAAGAGUUGUUUACUGAACACAAAGACAUAACAAGUCUAUAUAGAUGAAUAUAUGACAAUAAUAUACAUACCUCUCCUCUAAGAGAUAACGAACACUGUCAAACGAGUUCCUAACCUCUAAACUCUCAAUCACAGUUUUUGUUAUCACUUUGUCUCUCACAC